Phrynosoma platyrhinos (Desert horned lizard) is the source of this 72-nucleotide non-coding RNA. Lineage: Eukaryota; Metazoa; Chordata; Lepidosauria; Squamata; Phrynosomatidae. The record is from the annotation of a GenBank genome assembly.
GCCAGUGUGGUGCAGUGGUUUGAGUGUUGGACUACAGCUCUGGAGACCAGGGUUCGAAUCCUGGCUUGGCCA